Molecule: non-coding RNA, 292 nt
Organism: Macaca mulatta (Rhesus monkey)
Lineage: Eukaryota; Metazoa; Chordata; Mammalia; Primates; Cercopithecidae
Source: RefSeq, a predicted model, not a curated record
AGCCCGCUCAGCUGUAAGAGAGAAACACAUUUCAAUAAGGAGAGAAAACGUCAGCUCCCACAGGCCAACAUCCUAAGAACAGAUUACUACAGGACUUUUCAAGUGAGGUAGUGCAUCAAAGUUAUCAAGUCAUUUAGUCUGCAAUCCAUCUACGGAGACAAGCAACUAAACGUAUGAGCAAAUGAUCUGGAAAAAAAAAAAGGUGCUAUCCCUGAAUUCAGAAUUCAGUCCAAUUUCUUUUAUUUUCAGUUUCUGAGAAUAAAAAUCCAAUCACCAAAAUGGAUACAACUGA